This 89-nucleotide ribosomal RNA is filed under the name Brevibacillus sp. AG162. RNAcentral describes it as "partial 16S ribosomal RNA". It matches the Rfam family "Bacterial small subunit ribosomal RNA", at positions 1447 to 1533 of the family's 1533-position model. The record is from RNAcentral. Lineage: Bacteria; Bacillati; Bacillota; Bacilli; Caryophanales; Paenibacillaceae.
AGCCAGCCGCCGAAGGUGGGGUAGAUGACUGGGGUGAAGUCGUAACAAGGUAUCCGUACCGGAAGGUGCGGAUGGAUCACCUCCUUUCU